Molecule: ribosomal RNA, 254 nt
Filed under: uncultured bacterium
Lineage: Bacteria
Description: partial 16S ribosomal RNA
Rfam family: Bacterial small subunit ribosomal RNA
Source: RNAcentral
UACGUAGGGUGCGAGCGUUAAUCGGAAUUACUGGGCGUAAAGCGUGCGCAGGCGGUUCGUUGUGUCGGCGGUGAAAUCCCCGGGCUCAACCUGGGAAUGGCCGUUGAAACUGGCGAACUGGAGUGUGGCAGAGGGGGGGUGGAAUUCCGCGUGUAGCAGUGAAAUGCGUAGAGAUGCGGAGGAACACCGAUGGCGAAGGCAGCCCCCUGGGCUGACACUGACGCUCAGGCACGAAAGCGUGGGGAGCAAACAGG